GUUGUUGGGUAGGGGAGCGUUCUGUAAGCCGUUGAAGGUGUGCUGUGAGGCAUGCUGGAGGUAUCAGAAGUGCGAAUGCUGACAUAAGUAACGAUAAAGCGGGUGAAAAGCCCGCUCGCCGGAAGACCAAGGGUUCCUGUCCAACGUUAAUCGGGGCAGGGUGAGUCGACCCCUAAGGCGAGGCCGAAAGGCGUAGUCGAUGGGAAACAGGUUAAUAUUCCUGUACUUGGUGUUACUGCGAAGGGGGGACGGAGAAGGCUAUGUCAGCCGGGCGACGGUUGUCCCGGUUUAAGCAUGUAGGCGGAGGUUCCAGGUAAAUCCGGUACCUU
This 329-nucleotide ribosomal RNA is filed under the name Enterobacter hormaechei. RNAcentral's name for it is "partial 23S ribosomal RNA". It matches the Rfam family "Bacterial large subunit ribosomal RNA", at positions 1220 to 1551 of the family's 2925-position model. Lineage: Bacteria; Pseudomonadati; Pseudomonadota; Gammaproteobacteria; Enterobacterales; Enterobacteriaceae. RNAcentral also lists the same sequence under 2 other names. The record is from RNAcentral.